GCAGAUCAUGCGCUUCUACCGUGCCGAUCUGGACCGUCGCGGCGGCCGUCAAGGACGGCGCGACCGUCCACGUCGCCGGCGCGGUCGUGGUGAAGCAGCAUCCUGAGACGGCGAAAGGUCACGUAUUCCUAUCCCUCGAGGACGAAACUGGUAUGGCGAACGUGAUCAUCCGGCCUGCGACCUACCGCCAGCACAAGCGCGUGCUGGACGCCAACGCCGCUGUGGUGGUCACGGGAACGCUCCAGAGCGUCGACGGAGCCACCUCCGUGCUCGCGACGCGACUCGACGGCCUGGCGCUCUUCGUGAAGAUCGCCGCGCGCGAGUGGCAGUGACCUACCUCAACG
This 344-nucleotide unclassified non-coding RNA is filed under the name uncultured bacterium. Its description in RNAcentral is "contains 16S-23S intergenic spacer region". The record is from RNAcentral.